RNAcentral lists this ribosomal RNA (254 nucleotides) under uncultured bacterium. RNAcentral's name for it is "partial 16S ribosomal RNA". It matches the Rfam family "Bacterial small subunit ribosomal RNA", at positions 524 to 776 of the family's 1533-position model. The record is from RNAcentral.
UACGUAGGGGGCAAGCGUUGUCCGGAUUUAUUGGGCGUAAAGAGCUCGUAGGUGGUUCGGUAAGUCGGAUGUGAAAUCUCCAGGCUCAACCUGGAGGGGUCAUUCGAUACUGCCGUGACUAGAGGUCGGUAGGGGAGUGUGGAAUUCCUGGUGGAGCGGUGAAAUGCGCAGAUAUCAGGAGGAACACCGAUGGCGAAGGCAGGUCUCUGGGCCGAUACUGACGCUGAGGAGCGAAAGCGUGGGGAGCGAUCCGG